CGAUGCGAUCAUACCAGCCUAAGCACCGGCAUCCCAUCAGAACUCCGAAGUUAAGCGUGCUUGGGCGAGAUGUACUAGGAUGGCGUGACCCCGUGGAGUCCUCGUGUUGCAUCCC
Molecule: ribosomal RNA, 115 nt
Filed under: Ipomoea nil (Japanese morning glory)
Lineage: Eukaryota; Viridiplantae; Streptophyta; Magnoliopsida; Solanales; Convolvulaceae
Source: RNAcentral